UAGGGAAUCUUCCGCAAUGGACGCAAGUCUGACGGAGCAACGCCGCGUGAGUGAAGAAGGAUUUCGGUUCGUAAAACUCUGUUGUUAGAGAAGAACAGCGCAUAGAGUAACUGUUAUGCGUGUGACGGUAUCUAACCAGAAAGCCACGGCUAACUACGUGCCAGCAGCCGCGGUAAUACGUAGGUGGCAAGCGUUGUCCGGAUUUAUUGGGCGUAAAGCGAGCGCAGGCGGUCAAUUAAGUCUGAUGUGAAAGCCCCCGGCUCAACCGGGGAGGGUCAUUGGAAACUGGUUGACUUGAGUGCAGAAGAGGAGAGUGGGAUUCCAUGUGUAGCGGUGAAAUGCGUAGAUAUAUGGAGGAACGCCAGUGGCGAAGGCGACUCUCUGAUCUGUAACUGACGCUGAGGCUCGAAAGCGUGGGUAGCAAGCAGG
Molecule: ribosomal RNA, 429 nt
Filed under: Bacteroidota bacterium
Lineage: Bacteria; Pseudomonadati; Bacteroidota
Description: Bacteroidetes bacterium partial 16S ribosomal RNA
Rfam family: Bacterial small subunit ribosomal RNA
Source: RNAcentral